RNAcentral lists this unclassified non-coding RNA (179 nucleotides) under uncultured fungus. RNAcentral describes it as "sequence contains ITS1". The record is from RNAcentral. Lineage: Eukaryota; Fungi.
UUUAUUUGUUAUAAAAAUUUUACAUUCAUAGACUAGUGUUUAUAAGUGAAGGCUCACAAUCCGAAGACUGCUCGCCAUAAUACAGAUGCACAAAGUUAGAAUUGAGAAGUUCGGGUUCCAAGUUAAAUUGGACACCCUUGUUUUCAAUAAUGAUCCUUCCGCAGGUUCACCUACGGAAA